RNAcentral lists this ribosomal RNA (574 nucleotides) under uncultured bacterium. RNAcentral describes it as "bacterial SSU rRNA". It matches the Rfam family "Bacterial small subunit ribosomal RNA", at positions 8 to 578 of the family's 1533-position model. The record is from RNAcentral.
AGAGUUUGAUCCUGGCUCAGGAUGAACGCUAGCGGCAGGCCUAAUACAUGCAAGUCGGACGGCAGUGGGACCAGCAAUGGAACCAUGAGAGUGGCGCACGGGUGCGUAACGCGUAUGCAACCUGGCUCAUACAGGGGGAUAGCCCGGGGAAACCCGGAUUAAUACCCCAUGGCAUAAUGGAUUCGCAUGGGUUUAUUAUUAAAGAUUUAUCGGUAUGAGAUGGGCAUGCGUAGGAUUAGCUAGUUGGCGGGGUAACGGCCCACCAAGGCGAUGAUCCUUAGGGGUUCUGAGAGGAAGGUCCCCCACACUGGCACUGAGAUACGGGCCAGACUCCUACGGGAGGCAGCAGUAGGGAAUAUUGGGCAAUGGGCGGAAGCCUGACCCAGCCAUGCCGCGUGCAGGAAGACGGCGUUAUGCGUUGUAAACUGCUUUUGUACGGGAAGAAAACGCCACUGCGGUGGAACUUGCCGGUACCGUACGAAUAAGCACCGGCUAACUCCGUGCCAGCAGCCGCGGUAAUACGGAGGGUGCGAGCGUUGUCCGGAUUUAUUGGGUUUAAAGGGUGCGUAGGCGG